CCCAGUGCAGAGCAUAUAGAAGAUACCCAGUAAAGAUUUCCUGCUUGGUGGAGUGAAAAAAAACACAGCCUUCACCUCUCAUUGCUUGACCGCUGGAAGAGCAUGGAGAGAUGAGACUUCAGUGAGCUUCUAUUCCAAGACUUUGGGGAAAAAGUUCAGAUGGGUGACACAGAGACAGAGACGAGGACUCACGGCUCCAAUCUAACCAUGGCACACGCUGCGUUCUCCUUCUGGAUUGAUGGCUCUUCCUCUUGGUUUUGGAAAACAGCAUUUAUACAGUACUUGAGACCACAUUCUUCUCCAUGUGUUGGCAGAGAAGCCUGGCCCAUAGAAAAAUCUCCAGCUUGCUUGCAGACCAAAAUCCAAAUGGAUUGUGGGGCUUUUUGUUGUUGUUGUUGUUUUGGGGGGGUGCACUUGCGGCAUAUGUAGGUUCCCAGGCUAGAGGUUGAAUCGGAGCUACAGAGCUGUAGAGAGCUAUAGCUGCCAGCCACAGCCACAGCAAUGCAGGAUCCGAGCCACAUCUGCGACCUACACCGCAGCUCAGAGCAACACCGGUUCCUUAACCUACUGAUCAAGGGCAGGGAUCAAACCCACUACCUCAUGGUUACUACUCAGAUUCAUUUCUGCUACACCACAACAGGAACUCCCCUCCCCCCCUUUUUUAGGAAAAGAUAAAUGUUAAAGUGAAGCACCCCAACCAACAUUUUUCCCUGUAGGACAAAAUGAUGGCAAAUGAGCAAGAAUUCAGGAGCAGAGCAAAAUGGAGAAACUGGCUGAAGACAGAGCAGGAAAGUUAAAGAGGUAUAAAGAUGGACUGAGAGCUUUUAAGUGAAUCAAAAAAAAUAAAGGGAAUUUAAAGGUUGUUCUUGGGAGCUCC
RNAcentral lists this long non-coding RNA (877 nucleotides) under Sus scrofa (pig). RNAcentral describes it as "lncRNA (ENSSSCG00070019584.1)". The record is from RNAcentral. Lineage: Eukaryota; Metazoa; Chordata; Mammalia; Artiodactyla; Suidae.